This is a long non-coding RNA of Oppia nitens, 260 nucleotides long. RefSeq lists it as uncharacterized. Lineage: Eukaryota; Metazoa; Arthropoda; Arachnida; Sarcoptiformes; Oppiidae. The record is from RefSeq and is a predicted model, not a curated record. The transcript has 3 exons.
CAUAAAUCAACAUGGUCAACUUUGAAUGAAAAUGGCAAAAUGUUAGUAAAACGUCAUCAUUUAAAACUAAUUGAUUUCAAUAAUAUGAUCUAUGCUAUUGGUGGACGUGAUGAUAUUAGUACCAAUUUUGUUGAAACAUAUGAUACCCAAACUAAUCAUUGGAAACAAAUUUCAUCGUUAAAUAUUAGACGAGAUGGUUUAGGAGCUACUGUCCAAAAUAAUACACUAUAUGUUUGCGGUGGCUAUAUAUCAGAUGAAAA